Molecule: ribosomal RNA, 227 nt
Filed under: uncultured bacterium
Lineage: Bacteria
Description: partial 16S ribosomal RNA
Rfam family: Bacterial small subunit ribosomal RNA
Source: RNAcentral
GACGAACGCUGGCGGCGUGCUUAACACAUGCAAGUCGAGCGGUAAGGCCCUUUCGGGGGUACGACGAGCGGCGAACGGGUGAGUAACACGUGGGUGGACCUCGCCCUCCAGCUCUGGGAGUAAGCCUCGGGAAACCGGGGUACUAAUACUGGAUAUGACUCCAUGACGCAUGUUGGUGGGGUAGGAAAGCCUUGUGCGGCUGAGGAGUCGGGCCCGGCCGGCCUAUC